Molecule: non-coding RNA, 158 nt
Organism: Salvelinus sp. IW2-2015
Lineage: Eukaryota; Metazoa; Chordata; Actinopteri; Salmoniformes; Salmonidae
Source: RefSeq, a predicted model, not a curated record
AUACUUACCGGCAAAUGAGCUACCGUUAUCAAGACGGUUCACCCAGGGCGAGCUCAAAGCCAGUGCCAAUGUGGCUGUGCUGACCCCUGCGAAUUUCCCAAAAAUGCGGAAAUCUCGAUUGACUAAUUAUGGUAGUGGGGGACUCGUUCGCGCCUCUC